UGCAGUCGAGCGGACAGAUGGGAGCUUGCUCCCUGAAGUCAGCGGCGGACGGGUGAGUAACACGUGGGCAACCUGCCUGUAAGACUGGGAUAACUCCGGGAAACCGGGGCUAAUACCGGAUGAUUCUUUCCCUCACAUGAGGGAAAGCUGAAAGAUGGUUUCGGCUAUCACUUACAGAUGGGCCCGCGGCGCAUUAGCUAGUUGGUGAGGUAACGGCUCACCAAGGCUACGAUGCGUAGCCGACCUGAGAGGGUGAUCGGCCACACUGGGACUGAGACACGGCCCAGACUCCUACGGGAGGCAGCAGUAGGGAAUCUUCCGCAAUGGACGAAAGUCUGACGGAGCAACGCCGCGUGAGUGAUGAAGGUUUUCGGAUCGUAAAACUCUGUUGUUAGGGAAGAACAAGUACCGGAGUAACUGCCGGUACCUUGACGGUACCUAACCAGAAAGCCACGGCUAACUACGUGCCAGCAGCCGCGGUAAUACGUAGGUGGCAAGCGUUGUCCGGAAUUAUUGGGCGUAAAGCGCGCGCAGGCGGUUCCUUAAGUCUGAUGUGAAAGCCCCCGGCUCAACCGGGGAGGGUCAUUGGAAACUGGGGAACUUGAGUGCAGAAGAGAAGAGUGGAAUUCCACGUGUAGCGGUGAAAUGCGUAGAGAUGUGGAGGAACACCAGUGGCGAAGGCGACUCUUUGGUCUGUAACUGACGCUGAGGCGCGAAAGCGUGGGGAGCAAACAGGAUUAGAUACCCUGGUAGUCCACGCCGUA
Molecule: ribosomal RNA, 764 nt
Filed under: Bacillus sp. (in: firmicutes)
Lineage: Bacteria; Bacillati; Bacillota; Bacilli; Caryophanales; Bacillaceae
Description: bacterial SSU rRNA
Rfam family: Bacterial small subunit ribosomal RNA
Source: RNAcentral